GCGGUCGUGGCGGAAUUGGUAGACGCGCAGCGUUGAGGUCGCUGUGGGGUAAGACCCGUGGAAGUUCGAGUCUUCUCGACCGCACCA
This 87-nucleotide transfer RNA is filed under the name Alphaproteobacteria bacterium. RNAcentral's name for it is "tRNA-Leu". It matches the Rfam family "tRNA". From Rfam's summary of the family: Transfer RNA (tRNA) molecules are approximately 80 nucleotides in length. Lineage: Bacteria; Pseudomonadati; Pseudomonadota; Alphaproteobacteria. The record is from RNAcentral.